CAAGUCGAGCGGCAGCGCGGGGCAACCUGGCGGCGAGCGGCGAACGGGUGAGUAAUGCAUCGGAACAUGUCCAUGUCGUGGGGGAUAGCCCGGCGAAAGCCGGAUUAAUACCGCAUACGCCCGAGAGGGGAAAGUGGGGGACCGCAAGGCCUCACGCGAUUGGGUUGGCCGAUGUCCGAUUAGCUAGUUGGCGGGGUAAUGGCCCACCAAGGCGAUGAUCGGUAGCUGGUCUGAGAGGAUGAUCAGCCACACUGGGACUGAGACACGGCCCAGACUCCUACGGGAGGCAGCAGUGGGGAAUUUUGGACAAUGGGGGCAACCCUGAUCCAGCCAUUCCGCGUGAGUGAAGAAGGCCUUCGGGUUGUAAAGCUCUUUUGUCCGGAACGAAACGGUGAACGUGAAUAUCGUUCGCUACUGACGGUACCGGAAGAAUAAGCACCGGCUAACUACGUGCCAGCAGCCGCGGUAAUACGUAGGGUGCGAGCGUUAAUCGGAAUUACUGGGCGUAAAGCGUGCGCAGGCGGUUUUGUAAGCCAGAUGUGAAAUCCCCGGGCUUAACCUGGGAAUGGCAUUUGGGACUGCAAGGCUGGAGUGUGGCAGAGGAGACUGGAAUUCCUGGUGUAGCAGUGAAAUGCGUAGAUAUCAGGAGGAAUACCGAUGGCGAAGGCAGGUCUCUGGGCUGACACUGACGCUCAUGCACGAAAGCGUGGGGAGCAAACAGGAUUAGAUACCCUGGUAGUCCACGCCCUAAACGAUGUCGACUGGUUGUUGGGGGUUUGACACUCUCA
This 788-nucleotide ribosomal RNA is filed under the name uncultured beta proteobacterium. Its description in RNAcentral is "bacterial SSU rRNA". It matches the Rfam family "Bacterial small subunit ribosomal RNA", at positions 58 to 842 of the family's 1533-position model. Lineage: Bacteria; Pseudomonadati; Pseudomonadota; Betaproteobacteria. The record is from RNAcentral.